This 75-nucleotide transfer RNA is filed under the name Alphaproteobacteria bacterium. RNAcentral describes it as "tRNA-Glu". It matches the Rfam family "tRNA". Rfam says of the family: Transfer RNA (tRNA) molecules are approximately 80 nucleotides in length. RNAcentral also lists the same sequence under 2 other names. Lineage: Bacteria; Pseudomonadati; Pseudomonadota; Alphaproteobacteria. The record is from RNAcentral.
GACCCUAUCAUCUAACGGUUAGGAUACGGCCCUCUCAAGGCCGGUACACGGGUUCAAAUCCCGUUAGGGUCGCCA